CUCCCUGGCUUGGCAGCAGAUGCAUACCUGGGAAGGAUGCUAGGUCAUCCGGGAACUCUACCUCCUUCAAAUCCCUAAGGACUGUGCUCCCAAUCCGCUUACGCUCAAGGAAGAACUGCCUGGAAGCCCUCCCUGGUACCAUACCCCAGCCGAUGAGUAUGUACCCCCAGAAGUACUUCCGCUCAGAGAAGAAGGAGACGGCAAGCAGGGUGUACAGGAAGGCCCAGAACCAGCCUGCUGUCAGGAUCAGAACAAAAGAGGAGGACUGCAUAUGUAUGGACCCACUCCAGAUGGCACGGGGACGGGGGGAGUAGGAAAAGUGGCAUGAUGAGGAAAUGGAGGCACAGACUGAUUAGAAAACCAGCUCAAGGUCAUGUUGCUGGGCUCUCUGGUGGAGCCUCUGUCUCACAGGUCACCUGCAGGCCAACACUCCCAGAAGCAGCUAGCACCAUGGUUGACCUCGUCCAGGUCCAGGGAAGGCCUCCCUCUCCAGGACUCCUUUAGAUUUCCCCAGCAUCCAGACCUCACCUGCCUAAGUGCUGUUGCCCUGGAAGCCACAGUGAGCACGAGCUCCAUCUUGCACCUUUACCAGCCAAUGGGGGUAAAGACAUUAGCUGAAAUACUUCUAAGGGGCCAGGCGUGGUGACUCAUGCUUGUAAUUCCAAGCACUUUGGGAGGCUGAGGCAGGUGGAUCACCUGAAGCCAGGAGUUCAAGAGCAGCCUGGCCAACAUGGCGAAACCCUGUCUCUACUAAAAAUACAAAAUUUAGCCAGGCAUGGUGGCGGGAGCCUGUAAUCUCAGCUCCUAGGG
RNAcentral lists this long non-coding RNA (810 nucleotides) under Homo sapiens (human). RNAcentral's name for it is "non-protein coding VIPR1-AS1:5". The record is from RNAcentral. Lineage: Eukaryota; Metazoa; Chordata; Mammalia; Primates; Hominidae.